RNAcentral lists this transfer RNA (67 nucleotides) under Pseudothyrsocera sinensis. Its description in RNAcentral is "tRNA-Phe". Lineage: Eukaryota; Metazoa; Arthropoda; Insecta; Blattodea; Blattellidae. The record is from RNAcentral.
ACUUGAAUAGCUUAUAUUGAGAGCAUAGUACUGAAGAUACUAAGGAGAUUAUCUUAAUCUUUAAGUA